CCCUUAGAUGUCCUGGGCGGCCCGCGCGCUACAAUGUCAGCUACUGAGGGUUAAUGCUUUGAAAGAGAGCGCGCUCUCCUUUUAAUUGCUCGCAUGCUGGGAUAAAUGAAUGCAAUUUUGUUUUGAACGAGGAAUUCCUAGUAGCCAUGUUUCACUAGAAGAUGGCGAAUGCGUCCCUGCCCUUUGUACACACCGCCCGUCGCUCCUACCGAUGAGCGUUUUGGCGAAGACGGUUUGAGUAGCUGCGUAAUUUCGUGUUGUUGACUCCGGCAGUUUGAGCCUUCACGUUUAGAGGAAGGAGAAGUCGUAACA
RNAcentral lists this ribosomal RNA (312 nucleotides) under uncultured eukaryote. RNAcentral describes it as "partial 18S ribosomal RNA". It matches the Rfam family "Eukaryotic small subunit ribosomal RNA", at positions 1470 to 1796 of the family's 1831-position model. The record is from RNAcentral.